Molecule: transfer RNA, 136 nt
Filed under: Chloroflexota bacterium
Lineage: Bacteria; Bacillati; Chloroflexota
Description: tRNA-OTHER
Source: RNAcentral
GCGGUAGUGGCGGAAUUGGCAGACGCGUCGUACAACAUCCUGCUCCAUCCUUUUUGCCCGCUAGGCGGGCCGUCGGAUCAGGGUUAUCGGAUAUGGUGGACGCAAGUCCGUGGAGGUUCGAGUCCUCCCUACCGCA